UCCAGAGGGAGAACGUGGCGA
This 21-nucleotide microRNA is filed under the name Paeonia lactiflora (Chinese peony). RNAcentral describes it as "pla-miR11604". Lineage: Eukaryota; Viridiplantae; Streptophyta; Magnoliopsida; Saxifragales; Paeoniaceae. The record is from miRBase by way of RNAcentral.